UGAUGUGCUUGGGAAGAUGGGAAUUGCCCCAGUGGAACAGUCCUGAGUUCUCUCCCGUGCCAGCGCCCUCCCUUGGAGCAUAACAGGACCUAGGUAUUUUAUAAUACAAGUAAGAAACAUCCUCUAAAUUUCUUGAUGGAAAGCAGGACAACUCCUAACACUGGAUUCCAAAGCAAAUGGGAAGAGUGCACGAUGCAGGUUUCUGCACGGCUUUCCUCAACUCAGUACCGUGGAGAGAAGAAGCUACGCUGCCUAGACUGCUGCGUGAAAACAAAAUAAGCGAAUGUUGCUGCUCUCCUGCCAUUGAAUGGUGUGGUUUAUGUUCACAGAAGAGAGGAAGGGUGGACCUGUGACCAGCCUGAACGGCUGGCCUGGCCAUCAGGAAGCACAGCACCGCCUGCCCCCUGUCUAUGACUCAGAGACCCGGCAUGGAGCAUCCGAGGGGCUUCUUCCAGAAGACCAGCCCCUGAGCGGUGGUCGAUCUCGAAGGAGGACCUCUCGCCACCCACUGCUGACCCCUGACAUGGGAGAGGAGGCCACCACGCUGCUUGGACGCUUGCCAUGGGGGGACACCAUGGGUUAGGAAAGGGGUUCUGCCCCCACAGGACCUUCUGAAGCACUUUGGCCUGGCGAUGAAGUCCCCGUGUGUGAGGAAAGCCUCUUGCUGUGGUUUUGUGAAGAACACGGUGGUGGACGACAGCCUUCCCAGUGUGGAAGGCACUUUCCGACUCCAGCACCCAGCCCUGCCCCUGCAGCUCCACGUAUUUCAGGUCCCUACGGACCUGUGGGGCAGGUGCUGGGCUAGGGGUGAAAUGGAAAUGCAGCUGCAAGCUCCUCAAGAGACCCUCUUUCUUGCAUCUGCAUCUCCUCGGUGAUUAAUCUCAUCUUCCAUUAAAGGUGCAGCAUGCCUCUUUCAGCCAGGCCCACGAGAAAGGAAGCACAAUCGUACACAACAGCCCUCUCCUCAUCAUGUUUCACGAACAACCUUGACCUGCACUGGAUUUUCAAGGGCUGGCUACACAAAAUUCCCAGGUUUACCAGUAGAAAGAGAAGAAAAAAAAAAAAAGUUGAUCAGAUCUCAGUUGGGUACACGUCACAACUGGUUUUUCCUCUCUCCUGUUCAGCAUGGCAGACUGACAGGCUGCAAAAUAGGUCCAGCUGGAAAGAAGAUAAUUUUGUUCUGCUUUGCCCAGCCUCAUUUUUCAGCGCUGAAUGUCCAGUUGUGUACCUGUAUGAAACCUCUGAGGCCCUGGAGGCUCCACACAGCGAUGAUUUAUUCAUUUUUAAUAGGCAAACUUUUGUCCAUAUUACAUUUCUCCGUGCCUUUUAGUCACUAUCCCAGACUAAAGCAACCAAGGGGAGAUUUAAAACAACCGAACUCUCCCCUCACACUUAGAUUCUGCCCAAAGCACCGGAGCAGCUGGAGCGUUUACAAAGUCUCCGCACCAGCAGGUUUGCUCUUCGCUCCGCGAGCGCUCUUCCCUCGUUGCACUGCCAUGCAGCAGGGCUGCUCCGCAGCAGGUCUCAGGGGGGCUGUGAUCAAAACGCACAGGCUGAGCAGUGUGGUUUUGCAGCUCUCUUCAGACAGCCUUGUGCUUUUUACUCCCACCCAACUCUAAAGUGGAAUUGCCUAUGAGGAAAUUGUGUAUUUCAUAAGAAAGGAAUGUUUUUCAUCCUUUCCCCACAAUUCUGUGGCCAAGCCUCACUUAUAGUCAGUUAGACUUUGCACCCCCAUGACCUGAAUGCUCAUUUCUAAAGGAUUCCUGUUGUCCAGUUUCCCUUGGAUCCUGUGCUCGGCUAGCUGGCUGACUUCCUGCACCUUGGCUUCUUGGAGAGCACGUGAGGUAGCUCUGCAGGCCCUCCGGUGUAGAAGCAGAGGAUGCGCAAAUACCCUUUGUUCAGUGUCCUGUUACCACAGGCAGCUCCCCAUGGGCAGGAUCCUGGGGCAGACCAGGUCAGGGCAGGGUGAGCUUGGAACAGGCUUAGGAGAUCCCUCACUCGUGCUAUGGGCUCUGUGGCGGUGCAGGAAAACAAGCGGGACACGUGCCUGGCUGCGUGGGCACCCACGCCUCUGCGGCCCAGAGUCCUUCCACACGCACCACUUCACAGGCCAGGGUGGUGCAUGAGGAGAAACCCUGCUCCUCUUUCACCUUCGACAUUUCCACAUGGUACGAAAAACUCUUGGCCUUUCGCCAGAAGUUAGGAUUUGAUGACUUUUUUCUAUUUUUCCUUUUUUCUUUUUUUUUUUUCCCCCACACAGACUAAACAUUCACAUGUCUUAUCCUGUCCGAGCAGUUGUUUCAAUAGCUGUCCUGCCAACGGAGACACUUGGGUUUAAGUGGCUGAUCCUCUGCAACCAUGACUAUUUUUAAUGAAAGAUUAUGUCUCCGUAAGGCCAAAAUGUUUGUUAUCCAGCUUUGGCUUCUGAAAGAAACCCUGCAAAUGUUUCUGAAUCAGAUGUGUGUGAAAUGCUGUGCAAUUUCUCUAAUACCGAGGUGGAAAAUCUGUCCUUUCCCUAUUAAUAGACUAAAAAUCAAAACAGAGGUGGGGGGUUAAAGCCAAAUGGUUUCAUACACUAUGAAUUCAUCAGAGUUUCACAUUCCCAGCAAGGGGAAUAUUUGAAAGCAGAAGAAAUGAAUAGGAAUAAAUAAAAAAAAUGAAACCAAAUAAAUACAUCUGUUU
Cygnus atratus (black swan) is the source of this 2682-nucleotide long non-coding RNA. RefSeq lists it as uncharacterized. The transcript has 4 exons. NCBI's taxonomy places the organism in Eukaryota, Metazoa, Chordata, Aves, Anseriformes, Anatidae. The record is from RefSeq and is a predicted model, not a curated record.